UGAAUUCAGUCUCUGAGCCUCAGUUACCUCUUCUGCAAAAUGAGAACAUUUACCCCUGCACAGCCCAACUCAUAAGGGGUGUGCGUGUAUCAAAUGAAAUAAACCAGGUGGAAAGAAUGCUCUCACCCCAGGAGUGGUUGGAGUGUGUGUGUGUCUGUAUGUGGGUGCGUGCGGCCAUUUUCCACAGGAAACCAAGGUGCAUCACACCACUGGUCCUGCUUCCAGCCCAGCCCUCACAGUCAUCAUCUUGGGAAGCAACUCUUGUGGAAAAGGGGCCAGUCAUCCCCACCAGUUGCAACCAACUGCCACCCACAGAAUAGGCAAGCCAGCUUAGCUGAGGAAACAAGGAACCUUGGGGAGGGGGGAAGAAGAGAGGCAGCAUGCAUCAGGAAAGUCAAGCCACCAUCACUAUCUUCAGCCACAAUCUUUCCUCAGACCCUGAUAGAGACAGCCUAGAACCCUGAUUCCACAAACUUUGGGAAUAGUGAUAUUUCUAGCUCAGUUGACCUCAGCCAUCAUCUUGGUGUGUAAUCUCUGUGGAGAUGAAGUCUGAGGACUACUCCUCCUAGGGCUGUACCACAGCUGCUGAAGACAGAGAAAAGAAACUUCUUUCCGCCAAAGUCCUUGGUACUGUCAGACGGCUCUGCAUCAGAAAUGGAUAUAAUUUAAUCAGGUGAAAUGACACUAAAGAAGAGGCAAGCUUAUUUAUUUUGCUGAUGUACCCUGAGGACUGUAGGACUUCUCCAUUGGACUUGAGGCUGAAACCUUCCAUCUAUGUUGUCUCUCACCUUAGAAUGUGAGCUCUUUCAGAGCAGGGACUGCCUGGCUUUUCUGGCUGUAUCCCCAAUGCUUAGCACAA
Molecule: non-coding RNA, 859 nt
Organism: Phascolarctos cinereus (koala)
Lineage: Eukaryota; Metazoa; Chordata; Mammalia; Diprotodontia; Phascolarctidae
Source: RefSeq, a predicted model, not a curated record